UACGAGGGGGGCAAGCGUUGUUCGGAAUUAUUGGGCGUAAAGGGAGCGUAGGCGGUUUUGUAAGUCGUGUGUGAAAUCUUCGGGCUCAACCCGAAGCCUGCACACGAAACUGCAGGGCUUGAGUAUGGGAGAGGUGAGUGGAAUUCCUGGUGUAGCGGUGAAAUGCGUAGAUAUCAGGAGGAACACCUGUGGCGAAAGCGGCUCACUGGACCAUUACUGACGCUGAGGCUCGAAAGCUAGGGGAGCAAACAGG
RNAcentral lists this ribosomal RNA (253 nucleotides) under uncultured bacterium. RNAcentral's name for it is "partial 16S ribosomal RNA". It matches the Rfam family "Bacterial small subunit ribosomal RNA", at positions 524 to 776 of the family's 1533-position model. RNAcentral also lists the same sequence under 1 other name. The record is from RNAcentral.